UGUGUAUACAUAAACCCCCUCAAAUCCUCAAUAAUCCAGCGCAAUAGCCAGGAUACCUGCCUCUGCUGUAGUGGCUGCUGGAUCCCACUCACUUACCACUGCAUACACUUACCUGCAGACAAUUCACCACAGACACUCUCUGAGACUGCUCCACAAAGACCUGGCUGUCGCUGAACGACAUGGGAGAUAUGGACAGGAUAUUCUUUUCACCUCUCACUGUCAUUUAUUUAUAUCACUCUACAUGUGUACAUACAUUACUCUGCACUUCACUGCUCUUUGCACCUCUGUUUAGAUGCUAAACUGGUUUUUGUUGUCUCAGGAAUUGUGUUCUGUGCAAAAACAAUAAAGAUCCAUAUUCUA
Molecule: long non-coding RNA, 360 nt
Organism: Chelmon rostratus (copperband butterflyfish)
Lineage: Eukaryota; Metazoa; Chordata; Actinopteri; Chaetodontiformes; Chaetodontidae
Exons: 3
Source: RefSeq, a predicted model, not a curated record